Molecule: non-coding RNA, 75 nt
Submitted as: unclassified sequences
Source: Rfam
ACUGUGGAGUAUACAAGAACUUGUGAGUAGCAUAUCUGUUUACAGAUUGUAAAAGCAUAUACGAUGAAGCAGUAA